AUCAGAGGUAGCAAGCAGUUAGCAACUCUAUCAAGGAAAAACACUAACACAGAAGAACUCACUAUUUGAUCUUAUCUGAGCAAGGAUAGGACCUUCUCUUUGAGGCUAGCAUCUCUCUAUGGACUAUCUCUUGAGCCACCCUUCCCAUACUCUAUUGCCGUCGGCAGCUACACCGCAGUGGGAGAGAGGCUCACUUUUCUCCCAAAUUCAGGUCCGAUCCUGCAAUGAAGACUGCCUGUGGUCAGAGAGCAACCUCGUUCUACCAAUUCUUCAUUUAUUUGUUUGUCAGGUAAAGAUUGAAUUGCUUAUGCAUUAACAUUUCUCUAUCUUUUCAAACAUGUAAAUUAUUUAAAUUUUUAAACGAAUUAUUCAAAUUAUCCCUUAAUAUUUAAUAAAAUUUAAUUUUUUUAAUUAAAAAUAUGUAUAAUUAAAAAAUUUAUAAAGGUGUAUUUAAUACAUUUGAAUAUCUUUUAUUUUGUGCAGCAAUAGUAAGCAAGCCAUUAAGCAAAACCACUCAUGGUAUGGUUCUAAAGAGAAUAUUUGUGUAGAGG
Molecule: long non-coding RNA, 551 nt
Filed under: Manihot esculenta (cassava)
Lineage: Eukaryota; Viridiplantae; Streptophyta; Magnoliopsida; Malpighiales; Euphorbiaceae
Description: long non-coding RNA (MESC_LNC005676)
Source: RNAcentral